AAUUUACUAAUUUGUUAAAAGUAUUGGACAAACAUUUCGUAACUUAAAAACGAAUGAUAGUAAAGUUAACAGAUACAAAUAGUACAUGUAUCACAAUUGCAUCAAACGAAGUAUGUCUAAUGUUGGAAAGAGCCAUUAGUCACAACAAAGCUGGCAUUUUAUUUUUAUUCACUUAUUAAUUUCAGACAAAUUUUUGGCUAUGUAAUUUUUUACAAUAAAAUAUUUUUACAAUAAAAUAUUUCCAAAAAUUUAAAUUCAUUGAAAAUUUGAUUGACAUAUGUUACGUCUUUUUUAAAAUUGCAGAUUCUUAAUUCGUUUUGUAUACACGUAGAUAAAAAAGUAUAGAAAUACAUAGAAUAGUAUGAUCCUUGUUUGGAAACUUUCUUUGUUUUAGUGUAAAGAAUGCCAUUAAAUCUAAGACAAAUCAUUGAAAAUAAAAGGAGCUUUCAGCAAGAGACACAGGUGUCAUUCUGUCUUUGUUAUUCGACGAGAGAUAAAGACAGAUUGAUUCUGUGUGUUUUACGCUAGAAAAUUCCUAAAAUAACGGUGUCUCAGGUCAGUUUUUUAACAAUAGUAGAAUAGUAAGAUUGAUUCAAAUUUUGAUAUAAGCCUGAAAAAUGGAUAAAGCUGUAUUUUCUCUAAAAUGUUUUAAGAUUGUAGCAUUGAUUUUCGCGCGUUACUUUCAAUAAAUCUCUCUGUGAGAAUGCGAUAGCAACAAUAACUGACACAAGAUUCACGCGUCGAGAAAUCACUCGCACGAAGGAAUACGAAAAAAAAAAUGACAAAGGCAAAGUGGGACUUUGCUCGUCCCCCCGUUUUUCGAGUCACUCGUACGGCAUUGGCAUAACAAACGGCGAUGCGCGCGCACGCCGUUCCCGGCCGGUGCAAGGGACGAGGACAGUGCAUCGAUACGAGCGAGUGAUCGAGAGCGAGAGGGGAACGGGCGUACGAAGGAAGAAACGAGUGAACGAGAGAGACAAAGCGUAACGAGGAUAGACACAGUUUGUGAGAGGGCAACGGGGUGAGCGGGGUGGUGUGGUAUACCCCGUCGACUCAUCUGCGUGUAGUCGUGCAACGCGUGCGAAAUCUACGAGUCACACUACUUCCGAACUGGCUCGUGUUUACACGGCAGUAAGUUCAGUCUCGCUCCCACUCUUUGCUCUCUCGCACCCGUGAACGUCUCUCCCGCGCGCGCGGUUUCCGUCUCUCCGUUAGGCGUGUGCGCGGGUGUGCGUGUGCGCGUACGCGACUCGUGCGUGCGCGUAACUUCGCUGCGUGAAGUUUACGUGUCGCGCGUCGUGAGUGUGUGUCGGUGGUAGCUGCGCGCGCGCCUGUGUGAGUCGUGUGUGUUAUGUGCUUGCGCGCGCGCACGUAGCACGUAUGCGUUAUGUACAUCGUGCGGCCGCAGUGAUACACCGUUCCCGUGUUGCGAGACGCUCUCGGUCGGAGCGCGCGCGACAAAGCGAGAUUCGCCGAGGACGAGAGCCGCGCUCGGCGGCGGUAAUGACAACAAUAACGACAACGAUCACGACGACGUUGCGAUGCGCGGUAGAGAGUCGAAGGCAACGACAGUGAUUAGUGAAGUGCGAGCAACGGUGAAGUGAACGGACGAUAACGAUAACGACAACGACGACGACGACGACGACGACGACGACGACGACGUCGACGUCGACGGCGACAGCGACAGCGAGUGAGCAGCAGGGUCGUGCUCGCGGUCGAAGACAAUAGAACGCGCGCAAGAGUGGAACGCGAGGCCUACGGUGGCACGAUACCGGAAAGACGACGAGGUUGCUGGAAUUAAGUACGGAAGAACGAUGAGAACUU
Long non-coding RNA from Solenopsis invicta (red fire ant), 1824 nucleotides. RefSeq lists it as uncharacterized. The transcript is spliced from 2 exons. NCBI's taxonomy places the organism in Eukaryota, Metazoa, Arthropoda, Insecta, Hymenoptera, Formicidae. The record is from RefSeq and is a predicted model, not a curated record.